Mesocricetus auratus (golden hamster) is the source of this 787-nucleotide long non-coding RNA. RefSeq lists it as uncharacterized. NCBI's taxonomy places the organism in Eukaryota, Metazoa, Chordata, Mammalia, Rodentia, Cricetidae. The transcript is spliced from 2 exons. The record is from RefSeq and is a predicted model, not a curated record.
GGAGAUACAGCUCUUUAAUUCAGAUAAAAGGCUUGGAAAGAGGAGACUCUCGGUGAUCUACGGUGACCCCAGAAAGCUAGAAGCCAGCCAAACAGCAGACUCAAGAAUUGAGACCUACAUGCCGCAUAACAAUGUCUCUGGAACAUUGUCAGCAACUUGAAGUAGCGCAUCAUCAGCCGUCAGGAAAGCUGUGAGCUUGCGUCCCUCAGAGUAGGUGGUGGCACCUAAUGGUCAACAGACAGACAGAGAUGUUCCAGUUACCCCAUCUCCCAGGAAACCUGAUUCUCUGGUGAUCCUGAAGCUCCUUUUAUCUUUUUAGUGAAAUAUUUUCCUUACGACUGCCAAAAUUGGAUUUUGAUGUUUGCAGCUAAAAAUUCAGACUCACAAAAUUUAUAUUAAAGUGCUGAAGCUGUUACCCAGGACUGUGAACUCCAGAUUCUAGUGUUCUUUCCACAUUCCUAUCUUCGUGUUCCAACAAUCCACAAUAUUUACAUUACGUAUUGAUGUCUCUGUAUCAGUUUCUUAACUGAAUUUCUAUGGGAGCUGAAAAUAAACAUUUUGAGUGGCUGCAUAAGGAGGCGGCUGUCAGUAGAACAUCCAGUUUCAAAGGCAGAAAUAGUAUGCAUCUGCUGUAUGAUUUUCUUCUUUCCUUCUCUGCAUGUGGUAUAUGUGCGUGUUUGUGCAUGUGCAUGGGUGGGGCAGGGGUCACCACUGAGCAUGUUUCUCUGUUGCUCUCCACCUUUCCCCCUCUUCCCUUUUAUUGAAAAUAAAUUAUUCUUAUACAAUA